Molecule: unclassified non-coding RNA, 216 nt
Filed under: rhizosphere metagenome
Description: partial ribosomal RNA internal transcribed spacer region
Source: RNAcentral
UAUCGGUAGUUUACUACUGUUUGAGGGGAGUGGAAACUGACCCAGGCUUGCCUGUUCAGGAGUACAUUUCUUUUCUUAACCCUUGACCUUUUGAGCACUUGUGUUUCCUCGGCAGGCUUGCCUGCCGAUUGGACAACUUAAUAACCUUUUUAAUUUUCAAUCAGCGUCUGAAUUAUUUCAAUAAUUACAACUUUCAACAACGGAUCUCUUGGUUCU